Molecule: long non-coding RNA, 424 nt
Organism: Cygnus olor (mute swan)
Lineage: Eukaryota; Metazoa; Chordata; Aves; Anseriformes; Anatidae
Exons: 3
Source: RefSeq, a predicted model, not a curated record
CAGCACUCAUGGGUGCAUCCAGUCAGGGACUGCAUAAUUCAGUCAGCUUUCCCCAGGCAAUAGGUGAUCUGUUCUUAUGCAGCCAGCUCCAUGUUUACAUUCCAGAAAAAGGGAGGCCAAUUCUACUGGUGCUUAUUAUGCAUGCCCUGAGAACACAGAGGAAAAUUAGAAAGCAACCUAUUUCUUCUGUUUUGGUCUGUCUGCUUAGACAAUGCUGAGGUCAGCCAUAGAAUUGUGAACAAGUCACUGCAAUUACCCAAAGAUUUCUGAAGCAGUUAAAGGAGAAGUGGGAAGGAAUUAUAUAAAGAAAAGAAGUGAAAAAAGAAGAUCAAGAAGAAAGAGCAGUCAAUCUACACAUUCACCAAACCAGUGGCAGUCCAGCUGUUUUCCCUAUAAAGAAUAAAAGUUCAUUGUUACGAGGGUA